RNAcentral lists this transfer RNA (91 nucleotides) under Clostridiales bacterium. RNAcentral describes it as "tRNA-Ser". It matches the Rfam family "tRNA". From Rfam's summary of the family: Transfer RNA (tRNA) molecules are approximately 80 nucleotides in length. Their secondary structure includes four short double-helical elements and three loops (D, anti-codon, and T loops). The record is from RNAcentral. Lineage: Bacteria; Bacillati; Bacillota; Clostridia; Eubacteriales.
GGACAGGUACUCAAGUGGUUGAAGAGGCAUGCUUGGAAAGCUUGUAGGACGCUAACGUGUCGCGAAGGUUCAAAUCCUUUCCUGUCCGCCA